Small nucleolar RNA from Heterocephalus glaber (naked mole-rat), 144 nucleotides. Lineage: Eukaryota; Metazoa; Chordata; Mammalia; Rodentia; Bathyergidae. The record is from Ensembl.
ACUUCCUGGCACUGGACAAAGAGACAUCUCAUUGGUGGUGUUGUUCUUAUAUCAGUCAGGAGCAGAGAAGAUGACAAUCUUUUGUUUAUCCUAGCUUCAUGUAUGGGUUGGUGGCCAGAGCUGUUUCAUGCCUAGAGAAUAUAA